Danio rerio (zebrafish) is the source of this 117-nucleotide ribosomal RNA. NCBI's taxonomy places the organism in Eukaryota, Metazoa, Chordata, Actinopteri, Cypriniformes, Danionidae. The record is from Ensembl.
UAUUACAGCCAUAUCACCCUGCAGCUCAAGACCGGUUACUCACUGAAGCUAAGCAGGGCUGAGCCUGAUCAGUACCUGGAUGGGAGACCAUUGGGGAACACUAGGUUGCUGUUGGAA